RNAcentral lists this transfer RNA (75 nucleotides) under Rhodospirillales bacterium. RNAcentral's name for it is "tRNA-Thr". It matches the Rfam family "tRNA". From Rfam's summary of the family: Transfer RNA (tRNA) molecules are approximately 80 nucleotides in length. Their secondary structure includes four short double-helical elements and three loops (D, anti-codon, and T loops). Further hydrogen bonds mediate the characteristic L-shaped molecular structure. tRNAs have two regions of fundamental functional importance: the anti-codon, which is responsible for specific mRNA codon recognition, and the 3' end, to which the tRNAs corresponding amino acid is attached (by aminoacyl-tRNA synthetases). tRNAs cope with the degeneracy of the genetic code in two manners: having more than one tRNA (with a specific anti-codon) for a particular amino acid; and 'wobble' base-pairing, i.e. permitting non-standard base-pairing at the 3rd anti-codon position. Lineage: Bacteria; Pseudomonadati; Pseudomonadota; Alphaproteobacteria; Rhodospirillales. The record is from RNAcentral.
GCCGCCGUAGCUCAGGGGUAGAGCACGCCCUUGGUAAGGGCGGGGUCCACAGUUCAAUUCUGUGCGGCGGCACCA